Molecule: long non-coding RNA, 1358 nt
Filed under: Oryctolagus cuniculus (rabbit)
Lineage: Eukaryota; Metazoa; Chordata; Mammalia; Lagomorpha; Leporidae
Description: lncRNA (ENSOCUG00000038817.1)
Source: RNAcentral
AGCAUUGUCCUCCAUGCAAAUGAGUUUGUUGUAAAGAAUGUGUCACUUUCUGCCCAGGAUUUUGCCCUUAUUGGAGAGGAACAGGGAGCUGACUCCCCUAAUUGUAAAAAAAUCUCUGCAGGAGGUUUUUAAACUCUUCUGCUAUCUCUUUGUAUUUUAGGCGCUCAUCACUUCUGGGAAUUUCAAGUUCCGGCUUUCAUUUAGUCUGCAGUCUUUAUUCAUCCUGGAAAAGCUGCUUCACACUUCCAUGCAGGGCACUGAACUCCUUGGAUUAUUGGAAAGCCAUGGCUGUAUCCUAUCCAAAUGUUUCCAGCUCACAGAUUGACUACCAUGGGUCUCCAAGUCCUUGACCUUCCCAAUCGCAGGGUCUUGAUCUUUUCAGUCUGUUUGCAUUGCAGAAGCCUCUCUCUCAUUCCUUUGCCUAACGAGUCAAUUGCCACUUUUCUAAGGUGUUUCACCACCUGACAAUUAUCCAGAAACCUCAGUCUCUCUCUGGAGAGCUCACAAUUUGUUAAAUUAAACAGAUGAUAUAUCCUGGGGUCAGUGACACUCCUGAGUGAAGACAUUACUUCAAAGAAGGAAUAAAGCUUCAUUUUUCUCCAGAGCUUUCCUACUCCAAACCUGAAAUCUUCCUCAGGUUUACAAGUUUAUAGUGAUGUCAUCAUACGUCUUGACAUUCACCAGGGCACAUGAUUGCCAAGGUCUUUGGUGCCUUUGAACUUGUACAAAUAUUUCCACUUCAGUGACGGUGACUCAGAAGCCAGUCUUCACAGUUGCUCUGUUCUCCGGAAGGCAGGGUGUUUGUAUUUCAUGGAUGAACCUGGUACCUACGGUUCUGACUGCAGUGCUGCUGGAGAACAAGGACUAUGUCUUCUCCAUCAAGUCUUUCCCGUGACCCUUGUCCUGCUCAUUACUGAUGAGGAAGAGAAAGUCACAAACACCAGGGAUCAGAGGCUCUCUCAAGGCAAAGAUCUCCCAGCUGAUCAAGUGAUCCUGUGAUGCCCUAAAAGCUGACAGAAGUAUUUAGAAUGAGGAGCUGGGGGCCAGUGCUGUGGUACAGCAGGUAAAGCCACUGGCAGUGCUGGCAUUCAAUAUGGGCAGUGGUUCAAGUCCCUGUUGCUCCACUUCCAAUCAGCUCCCUGCUAAUGUUCCUGGGAACGCAGUAGAAGAUGGCCCAACUGCUAUCUGUGACCCCGAAGAAGCUCCUGGCUCCUGGCUUUGACCUGGCUGAGCCCUGGCCAUUGCAGUCAUUUGGGAAAUGAACCAGAGGAUGGAAGAUUCUUUCUCCCUCUCUCUUUUUCUCUUUCUCAGUCUGCCUUUCAAAUAAAUAAAUAAAUCUUAAAAAAUUUAUAGAACGA